Molecule: non-coding RNA, 208 nt
Organism: Oryza barthii
Lineage: Eukaryota; Viridiplantae; Streptophyta; Magnoliopsida; Poales; Poaceae
Source: Rfam
AAAAAAGACAAACCCGGAUUUCCGUGUACAACGUUUGACUAUCCGUCUUAUAUAAUUUUUUUUUAUAAUUAGUAUUUUCAUUGUUGUUAGAUGAUAAAACAUGAUUAAUACUUUAUGCAUGACUUGUCUUUUUAAAUUUUUUUCAUAAUUUUUUCAAAUAAGAUGGAUGGUUAAAUGUUGGACUCGGAAACCCAGGGUUUGUCUUUUU